AUUGAACGCUGGCGGCAGGCUUAACACAUGCAAGUCGAGCGGAAACGAGAUAGCUUGCUAUUCGGCGUCGAGCGGCGGACGGGUGAGUAAUGCUUGGGAAUAUGCCUUUUGGUGGGGGACAACAGUUGGAAACGACUGCUAAUACCGCAUAAUGUUUACGGACCAAAGCGGGGGACUCUUCGGAACCUCGUGCCAAAAGAUUAGCCCAAGUGAGAUUAGCUAGUUGGUGGGGUAAUGGCCUACCAAGGCGACGAUCUCUAGCUGGUUUGAGAGGAUGAUCAGCCACACUGGGACUGAGACACGGCCCAGACUCCUACGGGAGGCAGCAGUGGGGAAUAUUGCACAAUGGGGGAAACCCUGAUGCAGCCAUGCCGCGUGUGUGAAGAAGGCCUUCGGGUUGUAAAGCACUUUCAGUCGUGAGGAAAGGUUAGUAGUUAAUACCUGCUAGCUGUGACGUUAGCGACAGAAGAAGCACCGGCUAACUCCGUG
This 489-nucleotide ribosomal RNA is filed under the name uncultured bacterium. RNAcentral's name for it is "bacterial SSU rRNA". It matches the Rfam family "Bacterial small subunit ribosomal RNA", at positions 30 to 507 of the family's 1533-position model. The record is from RNAcentral.